RNAcentral lists this transfer RNA (77 nucleotides) under Planctomycetota bacterium. Its description in RNAcentral is "Planctomycetes bacterium (groundwater metagenome) tRNA-Arg". It matches the Rfam family "tRNA". From Rfam's summary of the family: Transfer RNA (tRNA) molecules are approximately 80 nucleotides in length. Their secondary structure includes four short double-helical elements and three loops (D, anti-codon, and T loops). Lineage: Bacteria; Pseudomonadati; Planctomycetota. The record is from RNAcentral.
UGGCCCCAUGGUGAAACGGAAGAUCGCGCGCGGCUACGGACCGCGAGGUGGAGGUUCGAUUCCUCCUGGGGCAACCA